This 271-nucleotide ribosomal RNA is filed under the name Belisana sp. Bor121. RNAcentral's name for it is "partial 16S ribosomal RNA". The record is from RNAcentral. Lineage: Eukaryota; Metazoa; Arthropoda; Arachnida; Araneae; Pholcidae.
UUCUUAAAGAAAUUAAUUUUAAGUAUAACCUGCUCAAUGAUAAUUAAAUAGCCGCAGCAAAUCUGUGCUAAGGUAGCAUAAUCAUUUGCUUUCUAAAUAAAAGAUAGAAUGAAAGGUUAAACGAUAAAACACUAUUUCAUAACAUUUAAUAAAAUUAAUUUUAAAGUAAAAAAUCUUUAAUAAAUAAAUUAGACGAUAAGACCCUAAUAAACUUAUUCAUUUAGUUGGGGCAACAAAAUAAUAUUUUAUCAAUAAAAUUAUUAAAAUUAAU